GAGAUCUUGUCAAAGUGAUAUAAUACGAAAAAAGCCGUUAUUUCUUCCAUCUCUUUCUUCAAGUUUCACUACUAUUACUACUUUCUUCCACUCUCUUCCAAUGGUUAGAGCUUGCUCGACAAAUCUUUCGUCGUGUUGGAUAGUAUAAACGGACUCUUACGCGUUGACCAGACGCAUUGACCAGACGCGCAUAUAUCUAUACGUACAUAGAGCGCAAGUGCGUGUGUCACAUCUUGACACACAGCCGAAGAAUUCUGUAUACACGCCGGCGCUUCCUGCAGUAAAGUUAACGACCUCGAUUGCAUAUAAAUGCCUGGCUUAAUGGUUUCGAAGUAAGGCCGAAGGCCUCAGCUGAUAAAAUCCACUCUCUCCUAGCGGGGUUUACUACUACGCCCAUUUAAGCCCAUUUCACACGGAAUCUUUCUGUCAGCUUCUAUCUAUGACACGGUGAUAUUUGUUAUUGCAUUAUUACUUUAUCGUAAUAAAUUACUAGUUAUUGGAGAUAAUAUUCUUGUAUUCAUUCACACAAGAAAAAAUGGUAAACAGAAAAAUAUGGCUAUUAUUGCCCCACUAUUGCAUCUAUAUUUUGCGUCACACGUAAUUGGUCGAAUCAUCUGAUGAAGAAAACAUAUAUCUAGUGUGAUUAGAACAAAUGCAAUGACAAUGAAUAUAUUUCAAACAUUUAUCUUAUAAGCAGACUGUUAAUUAUUGAGAAAAUAUAUUGUUAUUAUAGUUUACAAGAAUUUUACUAUGUCAACACAUUAGUAUUCGUAAUAUAUUGAAGCAAAAAUCUCCUGUUUUCUUUCUGCCAUUUCACUCUUCUCGUGGAUGAACGGUACUAUUAUAUGCCAUUCGAUAUUGUGUUAAAUAACACGCUUAAACGUGUGACAGAUAAUUCGAGUUAAAGUUAAAUUCACAUUUUCGAUUAGAAGAGAAUAAACAAAAUUUCAGUUUUUUUAAUUGUUUUCAUGUUUUUCAUUUGUUUCAUUUUCGAAAUAAUAGAUAGAAAUAAGACUUGUCCUAUUUUUCCUAACCUAACCUAAUUCUUUGUUCUUUUGUGAAAUAUUCGAUGAGAAUAUACAUUAGGAAGAAAGAAAGGAAUAGUUACACAGAAAAGAGGGUUAUGAUGACGCAGGCGCUAUUACUGAAGCACGCAGUCAAUAUACGUUAUUUGUACGUGGAAUCGACUCGUAUUUUGGCUUUUAGUCAUCGUCACACAUUCACAAGUCGACUCAUUUCUAUGACACACGCAUGAAAUAAUAUUACAUAUAUGUGUUUAACAUUCAUGCAAAAAAAAAAAGACCAUUUACACUUAGAAUGUACUAUAAUCGCUUUCAAACUUGAUCAAACUUUAUAAAACUUGAAUAACUGGUAAAUUAUAUGGAGGCAAUUUGAA
This is a long non-coding RNA of Apis dorsata (giant honeybee), 1396 nucleotides long. RefSeq lists it as uncharacterized. The record is from RefSeq and is a predicted model, not a curated record. NCBI's taxonomy places the organism in Eukaryota, Metazoa, Arthropoda, Insecta, Hymenoptera, Apidae. The transcript is spliced from 3 exons.